This is an RNA transcript of Papilio polytes (common Mormon), 980 nucleotides long. RefSeq lists it as uncharacterized. The transcript is spliced from 6 exons. The record is from RefSeq and is a predicted model, not a curated record. Lineage: Eukaryota; Metazoa; Arthropoda; Insecta; Lepidoptera; Papilionidae.
UAAGCGACAAAUCCACAUUCCUUAAUUACAUCACAGUACUUAUCAGAUAUCUGAUAUCGGGUACAGUACCGCCCUCUGCUAGCGCCGGAUACACUCCACUACAAACCUGUGGUCAGUCUAUAACAAUCUUGUUAACUGCAAUCAUGGUGUAAUUAUGAAAUCAAUAACGAUGUGUUUGCCGAUGGAAGUUUGUUGUUGUUGUCUUACUUUGGAAGUUGGAACGAAGAUUUUAGGUGUGGUUCACAUGGUGAUAACGUCACUAAUAUCUCUGGUAUACGGUCUGGUGUCAGCACAGUUAGACUACCUGGAGCCCCAGCGUCGUCUCUUCUACGGCCUGGUGAGCGCCUCAGCAGCCGCAGCACUGCUGCCCACCUUUCUUAUGACAUAUGGAGCCUUCAAGCAAAAACCAAAAUGGCUGUGGCCGUGGGUGGUAUUGUCGUGGGCGUCAAGCGUGGUGCUUGUCGGGCUGGCGCUGCUCGGCACUGUUCUCAUGACCCUCCCUAGUAAAGGGAAUAACUAUUCUGACAUCAGCACAAUGGUUUCGGUGUAUUUUGUUUAUGCGGUGAUGUUAUACUACUCAGCGUGUGUGGUGAACAGCCGGCGGGUGGAGCUGACGCUGGAGGGCAGGAGCGAGUCUGAGCAACGGCUGAUGAGGAGCAGGCACGUGCCCCGGACACUGCUCUACGAAGGUUACGAGGGUGCAGUCUAGCUGUGAUGAUUUACUAAUCAAGUAAAUGCGGCAGUAAUUGCUUAAGUUUAAGGACAUGAUGGUAGAAAAGCUGAUGGUGGUAAGUAGAACCAUUUUACUAAGUAUCCGAUGCUUUCACUAAUAUUUUAGAUCAUUUGUACUAACGUUAUAAACAGAAACUUGAUUGUUUGCAUUGAAUUAGCUCCGAGAGCACUGUACAGGUUUCGAAAAUUCACCGUGGAAUAUCGGCUAUAUUUUAGUCUUGCUAACCUAAGCGGAGCUGGGAUAGAUC